RNAcentral lists this non-coding RNA (26 nucleotides) under Cricetulus griseus (Chinese hamster). The record is from RNAcentral. Lineage: Eukaryota; Metazoa; Chordata; Mammalia; Rodentia; Cricetidae.
GGGUUAUUAGUGACGAGAAGGCCUCG